This 558-nucleotide ribosomal RNA is filed under the name Triticum aestivum (bread wheat). Its description in RNAcentral is "partial small subunit ribosomal RNA". The record is from RNAcentral. Lineage: Eukaryota; Viridiplantae; Streptophyta; Magnoliopsida; Poales; Poaceae.
AUGCGAUCGCUGGCGGACGAACUCGUCGCUGCUGGGAGGCCACUGGAACAGGACGAACUCCUCUCCUUCAUCAUUGCGGGGCUAGACCUUGACUACAACUCUGUAGUCUCAGCUCUGGACGCCCGCACUGAGCCGGUCACCGUCGACUUUCUCUACUCGGCGGUCUGCAACUUCGAUCAGCGCAUCGAGCUCUUCACAGGCGGGGUUGGAGGCACCGGUGGCUUCAAGUCUUCUGCCAACCUCACUGCUCAUCGUGGUGGCCCUCCUCCUCUGCCACAGAAGCAAAACGGCGAUGGGUACAAGAAGCAGAACAGCGGCGGCUACAAGAAACGGCAAGGCAACGGGCACCCCUUCUACUCCAACAACAAGGGCUCUCGUCCCGGCCAAGGAGGCCCAGGAGGUCCCGGAGGUCCAGGCGGCCCUGCACCUGGCAACAACGCCAGGAACAACGACCCAAUCCAAUGCCAGAUAUGUGGUAAGUUUGGGCACAGCGCCAAGGACUAUUGGUACCGUUUUGAUGAUGAUGCAUUAGAAGAAAAGGUUGCAGCUGCUGCUUAA